RNAcentral lists this ribosomal RNA (465 nucleotides) under uncultured bacterium. Its description in RNAcentral is "partial 16S ribosomal RNA". It matches the Rfam family "Bacterial small subunit ribosomal RNA", at positions 338 to 795 of the family's 1533-position model. The record is from RNAcentral.
CCUACGGGAGGCAGCAGUAGGGAAUCUUCCACAAUGGGCGAAAGCCUGAUGGAGCAACGCCGCGUGGGUGAAGAAGGUCUUCGGAUCGUAAAACCCUGUUGUUAGAGAAGAAAGUGCGUGCGAGUAACUGUUCACGUUUCGACGGUAUCUAACCAGACAGCCACGGCUAACUACGUGCCAGCAGCCGCGGUAAUACGUAGGUGGCAAGCGUUAUCCGGAUUUAUUGGGCGUAAAGGGAACGCAGGCGGUCUUUUAAGUCUGAUGUGAAAGCCUUCGGCUUAACCGGAGUAGUGCAUUGGAAACUGGGAGACUUGAGUGCAGAAGAGGAGCGUGGAACUCCAUGUGUAGCGGUGAAAUGCGUAGAUAUAUGGAAGAACACCAGUGGCGAAAGCGGCUCUCUGGACUGUAACUGACGCUGAGGUUCGAAAGCGUGGGUAGCAAACAGGAUUAGAUACCCUUGUAGUC